CUUCUCCUUCAAUAAGGUUUUAUAAUUGGGCCGAAAUAAAAAGAAAGAUCCCAAGCCCAAUAAAUUAAAAAUCCAGCCCUAUGUAAUUCUUGUUUUAUGAUUGUUGGCUGAAAAGGUUUUAUCAGUUGGGCCAAGAUAUAUUUUGUUACUAUAAGCCCAAAGAAAGCCUUCCUAUUUGUUCCCUGCU
Molecule: non-coding RNA, 187 nt
Organism: Arachis ipaensis
Lineage: Eukaryota; Viridiplantae; Streptophyta; Magnoliopsida; Fabales; Fabaceae
Source: RefSeq, a predicted model, not a curated record